This 497-nucleotide ribosomal RNA is filed under the name uncultured bacterium. RNAcentral describes it as "partial 16S ribosomal RNA". It matches the Rfam family "Bacterial small subunit ribosomal RNA", at positions 28 to 507 of the family's 1533-position model. The record is from RNAcentral.
GAUGAACGCUGGCGGCGUGCCUAAUACAUGCAAGUCGAGCGAACAGACGAGGCGCUUGCUCCUCUGACGUUAGCGGCGGACGGGUGAGUAACACGUGGAUAACCUACCUAUAAGACUUGGAUAACUUCGGGAAACCGGAGCUAAUACCGGAUAAUAUCUUGAACCGCAUGGUUCAAUAGUGAAAGCCGGUUUUGCUGUCACUUAUAGAUGGAUCCGCGCCGCAUUAGCUAGUUGGUAAGGUAACGGCUUACCAAGGCAACGAUGCGUAGCCGACCUGAGAGGGUGAUCGGCCACACUGGAACGGAGACACGGUCCAGACUCCUACGGGAGGCAGCAGUAGGGAAUCUUCCGCAAUGGGCGAAAGCCUGACGGAGCAACGCCGCGUAAGUGAUGAAGGUCUUCGGAUCGUAAAACUCUGUUAUUAGGGAAGAACAAAUGUGUAAGUAACUAUGCACGUCUUGACGGUACCUAAUCAGAAAGCCACGGCUAACUACGUG